RNAcentral lists this ribosomal RNA (250 nucleotides) under uncultured prokaryote. RNAcentral describes it as "partial 16S ribosomal RNA". It matches the Rfam family "Bacterial small subunit ribosomal RNA", at positions 524 to 773 of the family's 1533-position model. The record is from RNAcentral.
UACGUAGGUGGCAAGCGUUGUCCGGAUUUACUGGGUGUAAAGGGUGCGCAGGCGGGACUGCAAGUUGGAUGUGAAAUACCGGGGCUCAACCCCGGAACUGCAUCCAAAACUGUAGUUCUUGAGUGGAGUAGAGGUAAGCGGAAUUCCGAGUGUAGCGGUGAAAUGCGUAGAUAUUCGGAGGAACACCAGUGGCGAAGGCGGCUUACUGGGCUCUAACUGACGCUGAGGCACGAAAGUGUGGGUAGCAAAC